CCUACGGGGGGCAGCAGUGGGGAAUAUUGCACAAUGGGCGCAAGCCUGAUGCAACCAUGCCGCGUGUGUGAAGAAGGCCUUCGGGUUGUAAAGCACUUUCAGCGGGGAGGAAGGCGUUAAGGUUAAUAACCUUGGCGAUUGACGUUACCCGCAGAAGAAGCACCGGCUAACUCCGUGCCAGCAGCCGCGGUAAUACGGAGGGUGCAAGCGUUAAUCGGAAUUACUGGGCGUAAAGCGCACGCAGGCGGUCUGUCAAGUCGGAUGUGAAAUCCCCGGGCUCAACCUGGGAACUGCAUUCGAAACUGGCAGGCUAGAGUCUUGUAGAGGGGGGUAGAAUUCCAGGUGUAGCGGUGAAAUGCGUAGAGAUCUGGAGGAAUACCGGUGGCGAAGGCGGCCCCCUGGACAAAGACUGACGCUCAGGUGCGAAAGCGUUGGGAGCAAACAGGAUUAGAUACCCUAGUAGUC
Molecule: ribosomal RNA, 465 nt
Filed under: uncultured Klebsiella sp.
Lineage: Bacteria; Pseudomonadati; Pseudomonadota; Gammaproteobacteria; Enterobacterales; Enterobacteriaceae
Description: bacterial SSU rRNA
Rfam family: Bacterial small subunit ribosomal RNA
Source: RNAcentral